Labrus mixtus (cuckoo wrasse) is the source of this 706-nucleotide long non-coding RNA. RefSeq lists it as uncharacterized. The transcript has 3 exons. NCBI's taxonomy places the organism in Eukaryota, Metazoa, Chordata, Actinopteri, Labriformes, Labridae. The record is from RefSeq and is a predicted model, not a curated record.
UUUGAUUGGGGUACCUCACCAAUAAAAUACUAUUUUAUAUUUUAUAAGCAGUUUGCCACCACACUGCACUUUUACUCUCCAAAGGCAUAUGAGUAUGUGCGUGACAACUUUAACAAAGCUUUACCACACAGUCACACCAUCCACACAGCUGAUCCAGGAUUUACUGUAACAUCUUUUACAGCGCUAAAAGGUCAUGUACAGGCAAACAGAGAGAAGGGAAAAGAAACAAUCUGUGCUCUCAAAUAACAAAGCAGUCUCAAAUCUUUUUGAGGAAUUACAGCUAAAAAAAAUUCUACUUUGCAUACAGUACAUCCUCUGAUAAAUACAGUGAAGUACUUUGGUUGCAUUUCUGUGGUGUUCCUGUAGGUGACCAUGAUGCAGCCAGACUGAAACAGCAGGUUGUGAAGGUGGACGCCAUCAUCUUGUCUUUGCAGCGCUGAUUCUGAAGAGAACGCCUUCACAUAGGACUCAAAGGAAAUCAAUGCCCAAAGAAAACAGCAGUCCAGACUCUGAUUCCAGCUCCGAAGAUGCCCUCAGAUUCAGAUCCAUCAGCAACCACUGACAACAUGGAGGACUCGUCCCCUGAACGUUUCCUGUCCUCUCUCGAUGGAGUUCUUCUCUUUAGUCAUUAACUCUUGAAAACAGCAGCACAAAAUGCCAGACUGUUUGACAAGUGUGUGAUUGAAUAAAUGGAAAUGGAAUCUCA